This is a non-coding RNA of Cinara cedri, 280 nucleotides long. The record is from the annotation of a GenBank genome assembly. Lineage: Eukaryota; Metazoa; Arthropoda; Insecta; Hemiptera; Aphididae.
UUUCAAUUGAGAUAAAACUAAACUUUACUUUUCUGCGAUUUAUCUUGAGGAACGCUUAUAAUAGAUAUGGUUUAAUAGCUCGGGGAAUGGUUACAUCAAUUUCACAACCUUUUUGAGAUCUAGAUAGAUAUGGGUUCUAUAUCUGGUACACUUUUAGCCCUCGGAUUUUACGAUGGGUAAUAGAAAAAAAAACCAGAUACUGCUGACGAGUGAUGUGUAACUGUUGUAGUCGGAAAGUUGGGAAGGUAUACGCAAUAUGGAGUUAUUAACUUUUUAUCUG